This is a long non-coding RNA of Papaver somniferum (opium poppy), 1607 nucleotides long. RefSeq lists it as uncharacterized. The record is from RefSeq and is a predicted model, not a curated record. The transcript is spliced from 2 exons. Lineage: Eukaryota; Viridiplantae; Streptophyta; Magnoliopsida; Ranunculales; Papaveraceae.
UCACGGUGUUAAUUAAUUUGAUUAAUGAAUGCUUGAUUUACAUAUCUCUUUGAAAUUUCAUGAUUUCUACAAACUCAUUAAUGGGUAUCUUCAGCUUCAUAUGAAUUGGUGUAUAAUUGAAUUUUUAGAGCAUCUCCAAUGGGACAUCCUCAAUUUCCUAAUAUUAAGACCACACAGGAUUUUUCAAGUUUUUAACAAAAAUCCUUCUCCAACGGGAAUGUGAGGAUUAAAUGUAAGGGUGAUGUAUAAGGUAGUUACUAACACAUCCUUAAACUCAUCCUCUAGUUUUAGAGGUUCUUGUGGAGGAUGUAAACAUCCUAGUCACUAGUAUAUACGGUUAUUAACAAUUAGAUUAAAUAUUUAAUUUCAAAAUCAAAGGAUUAAGAGUUUCUUACCAAUGUAAAGAAUUUUAUGGUCGGAGAUCAUCAUUCUGAAAUUCCUAAUUCCAAUGUAAAGAUUUUUUAAUGUAAAGAUUUUUAUGGAAAUAUUAGACUUUAAGUUUCCAAAGGAUGUCUUCCUAUAUCAACCACAUAGGAAGCACAUCACAACGGGUUGAAGAUGCUCUUAGAUGAAUUUGUUUGUUUUUUUUUUUACUCAUUUCAUUCUUGUUAAUGUUAACGUCUUCUUUAUUUUUCAAUACGGCCAUCUUUACUAAAAACGUUCAUGCAAAUCCUUAAUUGAAUAUUUGGAAUGUCUUCUGAGUUCUGAUCGUGAAUUUGACAAACUUUGUUCAUUAACUUUUUUCAAAUUACCUACGUCUUUAACGACUUUGUACAACCAAAUUUUGGUUUGGGAUCCUAUAAUUUUAGUGUUUUAUUCUUACGUAUUGCGCUGCAUGUAAUUUCAAAUGUACAAAAUGACUUCGUGAAGAUUUGGAAAAUGUUUUGCAUCUAUCAAAUUUUGUUUUCUCAUCUAAAAUCAAGCCAUGCGUGGUUUUUCUAAACUUGCCUAUUUUCUGUUUGUUAAAAUGACCAAGUGAGAAUUGUAUUUAAAACUCCAUUUAUGGCCAAAAAUCGAAUCCUUAAGAGUAUUAGUAUGCAUGUGGUCUCGUUGAUUUCUAAUAAUAUCUCAAUACUUUCCGGUAUGGGUCAAUUCGAUUAGUUGAUUAUUUGAAAUAUCUCAUUCGUCCAGGAACUUCAGUCCAAUUCUUUUUAUUAUAUUUUCCAUGAAAACGUCAUGAUUCAAGACUUGGUCUCACUGUUUAUUGAUACCUCCAUCUCCUUAUCACAAGAAUUCUUGCUGGAACAGGAAAUGAGUACGAGAGGAACUUGUAGCAGUAAGCCGGGCAGAGCUUACGGCAGGCUUAUAGCGCUUUGAAAGUUAGUAUUUUGUUAAGCUUAUGAUAUUGUAUAUCACGGGGUCAUCUGGGCAGUUAUUUUUUAUUUUAGUCCCAUGUCAUUUUUCUUUGGUCAUCAGGGCAGUUAUUUUUUAUUUUAGCCCCAUGUCAUUUUGCUUUGUUUUGGUGUUGGGAUCUUGUACAGAAUCUUUGUGGAAUGUAUGGAACUUGGUGGUGUAAUGAAGGGAAGGUCUGACCUUUAGGUGUCUAAAGAAUCAAUUAUAUCACUCAUUUUGCUGUCAAAUCUAAAAGUGUGCAUCUUCUGUUUAUA